Heterocephalus glaber (naked mole-rat) is the source of this 6699-nucleotide non-coding RNA. The record is from RefSeq and is a predicted model, not a curated record. NCBI's taxonomy places the organism in Eukaryota, Metazoa, Chordata, Mammalia, Rodentia, Bathyergidae.
CAUUAAAUUUCACAUAGGGCUGGACAGCUAUGUGUACAAGAUGCUACCUGUAGGAAUUGGGUUUUUCCCAGAUAUGAAGGGGGAAUACACAGAAAGGAAGAAAUGCGUAUGUGCAUGCAGGUUUGGGCACAUGCAUAUGAAACCUGGAGGGAUUCUCUUUGGAUCCACAGUCCAAAUGGACUUCCAAGAAGGAGCUGGUAUGACCACAUGCUUCUUCCAUUGUGCCACAUGCAGCCCAUCUUGAUCAGCCAGGUUCUCAGGAGACUGAUCAGCACCUGCUGUAGCUCUGGCCAAAGCUGUUUUUGGGACCAUGUGAAGGACAGAAAACUAAAAUGUGGGCACAAAAGCAUCUAAGACUUGCAGCAGAGUUGAGUCUCCUACCACUUUCUGUGAGUCUGCUGAAUACUUUUCAGUAUGGGAGCAUCCUUUCCAACACACAAGUCAGGAACUGCUGAGAUACAUCACGGUGCAAGCUUGAUCCAAAAUUGAUGUUAACCAUUGACUGUCAACUGAAGACUUCUAUGUGCCACUCACUGUGCUAAGCACCAUCUCAUUUAAUCCUCACAACAGUCCUUCAAGGGCUCUAGGUUUGCCUCUGAGAGGAGAGGGAGGUGGAAUAUACUUUACCCCCUGCAACCUGCUGAAGAAAUGUGCUCCUGAGGCCAGAAAAUCAAGUAAGCCCAUCUGGCUUAGACAGCUCAGCAGCGUGAAGAUCAAAGUCACGUCCUCAGGUCUGUGCUCCUCAAUGGCAUUAACUCUACUUGCAUGCUCCUAUGGAUGAGGAAGGACAUCAUCCCUUACUGAGUGUAUCUGUCCACAGGAGAAAUCAGUGGAAGAGUCCUUAGCAGAGUCUACAAAGUCAUUUCUUUGCCAGAAACCUCCCACAAUGAAUCACAUCCAUUGGAUACUCUCAGGUGCAUGGGUGGCACAGCAUGGAAGGUAGAAGAAACUCAGAUUUCAGAGUCUUGAGAUCAUCCCCAGGGCUGCUCCAGUGACCUUGACUCCUGAUCCAAUGACCAGAGAAUCUUGGCAGUGGCGACAGCCAGUUUUUUCCACUGGUAUUUAGAAAUGUGAUGAAUUGGAAACAAACUGCAGGCUCAACAGCUUGGAGCUGGUUAAAUGAUUUUGGGUUCAUGCAGCCAGUACAACAAAUCACAAAUCUAUCUUUUCUACACCCGAUAUUAGAUUGAAACAACUGAGCAGAUCCUUUCUGCAGUUACAGUUCCUCAGAAUGGAAUGUGCAGAAUUUAAGUCAAAAUAUGCCAAAAUGUUAGCAAUUAAUUCUUGGUUGUUAUAUGUAAGGAGUAUUAUUUCUUAUUUUUCAUAUUUCCAAUGUACAAACAUGUGAUUUUAUUAUAAAAAACAUUUAUAAGGAGUAGUCUUUUAGAUCAAGAACAAGAGCAUAAAUAUGGGCAUAGAGAGAGUGGAAGAAAAUCAAGCAAAAUGAUACCUUUGGAUGGUAGCCUCAGAAUUUUUUGCCUCCCAUCUUUAUAGUUUUUGAAUUUUCUAUAUUUACUUUUAUAAUAGGCAUUCCUAUUUAAGAUAAUUUUUUUUAAAAAAUUGGUGGAAUGGGAGAGUGGCCAGUUUCUGAGAAGACAAAGCUUUGGGCUCCCCAAAAGCCCUUUCAUGUCAAUUGGUUGAUAUUUUCUGAGCCUAUAAACUAUGCACGUCAUUUGGGCCCAGAGAAGUAGGGGUGAGAAAGCUGAAGGAGAUGCAAGCACUUUAAUCAGAUCACAAUCCAUCAGGGGACAUAAGAGCUCUCAUUAUACAGCUCAAAUUGCAAGGUCUUAAUCCUAGAAGUGUAUCUGUUAAGAGUAUAGUAAUAGGGCUGGGGAUUUAGCUCAGUGGCACAGUGUCUGCCUCACAACCACAAGGUCCUGAGUUCGAGCCCCGGUACAAAAAAAAAAGGUGACAAUAUACUGAGCGGAGCUGCAUCACCUGGGAAGAAACUCACCUGCAUUUCUUAAUCAUGCUGGAUCUGACCCUCAGCUUGCUUUUCUGUAACUGUAAACUGCCUCAUAAUGUCCUUGUGAGGGCUAAGUGAAGCCUGUGCGUGAAGGGCUGGGCAAGGCUACCUUCACCAUGAAUCACAUUAUCAUUACUGUGUCUCAGGUUUUGGGGCCAGCUAUCCAUAAGCUGUGUUUUCCAAGAUGUCGCUGGCAUUUGGACUCACCUUUAUCCAACUCCCAAGCCAUUGAUUCUACCCAAAUCAGGCACUGCAUUCACUCCACACCAAACUGAAAUUUGUUGUAAACCUCACUAUUUUCUUAUGAUCUUGCCAGGAAAAAAAGCCAAAUUUCUAUUCAAAGAUCAGAGGCGAAAUGAAUUUGGUUCAAAGAACAUGAGAGGAGGAAAGAUGCAGGAUGCCGUAGUGUCACCUGCACUGUUGCCAAGAAUCUUGCUGCAGAAGAUUCACCCUGAAGCCUGUGUUGGUAACACAGCAUUGCUUGGCUUGUCCUUAACUGUGAAUGUGUCAGGAUUUCCCUCCUAACCACUUGUGUUAGUUUGCUCUGGUUGGAGGGCAGACUGUCAUGGAUGGAAAGCAAAAGGAAGUAUAGGGCUGGGGAUUUAGCUCAGUGGUUUUGCUGUCUGCUGCGCAAGCGCAAGAACCCAAGUUCAGUCCCUGUUACCAAAAAAGGACGUAUAAAGAAGGGCCAGUGUGUUUAAAAAGAACCUAAACACCUGGACAACCAAUGCCAAGAGGUGUGAGACACAGGUUAGAAUUGGAAGUCUAAAAAAACGGAGUCAAAAGCAAUGGAGAUCUAGAAAAAGGGACAAGGAAAACCAAAAGCACAGCGGAAAUUCUUUUUAGGGAUAUCCAUGUCAUUCAGAAAAGUUACCUCCUUGAAAAGAGUGUUAAUAUCAGUGGUUUUCCCCCUGUCUCUCCAGUCAUCUGUUUUUUAAGGGCUCUACCUAAACUCACCUGUAACCCAUCCUGUCCCACCUCCUCUUCACACUAGGCAUUAGGAGUACAAAUACUUUAUUAAGAGAAAUCAGACACACAAGCUUAAAUAUUGGAUCAUUUCUCUUAUAUGAGAAACCCAAGAUAUAAAUAAAGAACAAAAUAAAAGAUAAUAGGAAAUAGGGAGAUGGAGCUUUCACAAUGGGAAGGGAACCUGGAGAUCGGAAGGGGGGUGGUAAAAAGAAUUAAAAUGUCUUAUGUCCAUGUACCAGCUCCACAUGGUGAAUAUAAUUAUUAUGUACUGCAAACAUCUAAUAAAAUUUUUAAGAAUUAAUAAAAAAAGCCAGUGCAGAUAAGAGCACAGGAGAGCUGUGUGCUUGAAUAAGGAAGAAGAAUACAUAAGCAUAUCAGGGACAAGUACAGUGCUCAAGACUGGUAUGAAGUGAAGUGGCUAAUGGGACAGGUAGGCAGAAAAGACUUUCCAGGGGAGCCAGGACUUGAGCUCAGUCCUCAAGGACAGUACAAGCAUGUUCCUGUGGCCCUGAGAGAGGAAUUGGUUUCAGGCACCUGCAGAAAGAGGCUGCAGGGAGCAUGAGAAUGCCAUGGGCCUUUGGUGUGCUUGGUAGAUGGCACUGGUUGGAUCAUAGGUAUUUAUAGAGAAGACUUGGUACAAUAAGGCUACCAUGCAAGUGGGACAACCCCCAGAAGUUGGCUGACAAGCUGAAGGACCUAUCCUGAAAGUAGUGGCAAGGGGAAGAGGUGGCAUUUGAUUUGUUCCCUGGCAGUGAGUUUCUUCUAUGCUCAGGAGUUGAGCCACCUUGGGCAAUAUGGAGGUCAAGCCUCUUAUCCUCUCUGUCAGAGCUUCAGUUUAGAGAGAAGAAUUAGUCCAGAUUUAUCAUUUAUCAGAUGACUUUGGAACAGCACAUAAUUGAAUCUUGAGAAAAGUCUACUCAUGCAUCCGUUUCUUCAUUCACUCAUUUAGAUUGGUUCUUAGGCAUCCAAUAUUUUAUGUUCAGUACUGCUGAAAUUUCUUUGGGGGCUACACAAUUUAGUAGGAGUUGCCUCUAAUUUCAAGAACCUUCAAGUCAGAGUAAAGGAGAGAUGACUACUAAUUCCACAGUGUUAACCCACCAACUAAGCUCUUUAUCUCAUCUCCUAAGACUCCUUUAACCCCUUCAAUAGAUUUCCCAUCUCUCAUGGGAAAAAUGUGAACUCUUAUCUAAAACUAAUUGUCUCUCUAUGGGAAACCUUUAUUUGUCUCCUAAAACUCAUCUCCUACCACUCCUUACCUUUUUCUGCUCUAGCCCACUGCCUUUUCUUUCAUUAGAUUCUCUUCCACCACAGGUCUGUAGCACAUGCUGCUCCUUCAGCCCAAGCCAUCUUCUCUGGUUCAUGCCUACUUAUUCUGUAAGCUCAGAUGAAUAAUUCUGUGGGAAAGGUUUCUCAGUCCAUCUGAAUUGACCAAGUCUUUAUUACACACUCUUCUACUCCAUCUAAUAUCACUCACAGGCCUUUUCCCAGUUAUAAUUAUUUUUCAUUUAUUUACACAAUAACUAUAUUAACAUCUACAUUUUCUACCAGAUCAAAAGUCCCAUAAAAGCAAGCACUGUUUUUAUAAUAAUUGCCAGAGUAUAAUUUAUUUAUAAUGUGCACACACAUUUUAGAUGUACCUUUCAGUGAAUAUUGGCAUAUUUAUGCAAAAGCUUAUAUACAUGUUUAUUACUAAAACUGCAUAUGGAACACUUCCAUCCCUCUAAAAUUAUGCUGUGCUUCAGGCAGCCACUCAUAUGCCUUUUGUCCUUAUAGAUUGGAUGUCUUUUCUAUAGUUUGAUAUAAAUAGAAUCAUAUGGCCAGAAUCCCUUAUGUUUGGCUUCUCCCACCCAGCAUAAUGUUUUUGAGUCAUCUAUGCAGUGUGUCAUCAUAGUCUGUUCUUUUUAAUAGCUGACUGAUGCCAUUCUCAUUGGUUCAUUGGAGUUACCACUCUCUCUUCAUACAGCCUUCAGCUUCUUAAGGCAGGAGCCACAUUUCCUAAUACUUCCAGUACUUGGUAUAGAUCUAGACAUAUAAGUGGCCUUUGAAAGGGAUAUAGUCCGUCUUCCCUGAUUCAGGGCAUGUAAGUGAUCAUUCUACUCACACUUAGUAGUCAUCCUGCCAUCACAGGCUUCCUUUGCAUACUUCACUAGUUAAGCAUCUGGGUCCAGGAUACCUAAGCAUACUUGCCUUCCUUUAGUACCACUCUGAUGCUUCCCAGAGCCAGAGAGAGGUCCUGGGUCAACCUUGGUGGUGAGGCCCAUGAUGAUAGGCAAAUCCCUUUAACAUUUUGAACUUGGACUUCCUUGUCUAUUGAAUGGAGAUACUGAUAUGUAUCUCAAGGGUCAUAAAGUGAACUCAGGUGUAUGAAAGUGCUGUGUGAAGUAGAAAAUGCAAUACUGUACAGUGAAAGUUAAUUCCAUCAUUUAAUUGCACUUCAUCCUGGAUUAACUGGCUGUGUUACCUGAGACAUGUAGACCUUCAGUUUCUUUCCUAUCAGAUGAGGGUUGAACUAGUGUCCUCCAAGGUGCCUUUCAUCUUGGACCCUCCUAUUCUAGGGCCCUGGAACACUAGAAACAGAGCCUAUCUGAUUCUCCAGCAUGGGAAAAAUUGGGGAGAAACAAACAGUUUCUCUGAAAAUUCUCUUCCUGAGUAAAGGAAGCCAGCUCUAGUUUCCAGAACAAGCCAGUGUUUUUGCAUCAAUAGAUUUAACUCUGUAGCUAUUUCCAAAAACAUUAGGGAAAAUAACAGAGCUCCUGAUUUCCAGGUGCGCUUACUGGUGCUAUGAAGCAUGUCCUUUGCUGGGAACUGAUCUUUGAUAGGGAUAAAUGUGUCCAAGUUACUUUAGAGCAGGAAGUAUUCCUUUUUUUUGGUACUAGGGAUCGAACUCAGGACCUGGCACUUGUGAGGCAGGCAGUGGCACCACUGAGCUAAAUCCCCAGCCCAAGUGUUCCAUUUUUUAAGCCAGUAAUUUAGUUAAGUCCACCUCCAGAUGAGCCCUGUCAUUCAGGCAACAGAGGAUUUCUAAGUACCUACUGUGCGGUAAGUGAUAUAUAUAUAUAGUCAUCCCCAAUAGCUUUGUGAUAGAGGUAGUAAGUUCAUCCCAUGUGGCUUGACAUGUGCCCUCAGUUGGUAAAUGGCCAAGUCAGGGCUAGAAUCAUUGGUCCUUCCCACUGUGACAGGCCCUGGAUUAGCCCCGGGUGGUACAAAGAUAAUUCAUGUACACUUGAAUUCUGUAUGGCCAGGAAGAGAAGGCAACAGCUUCAUCUUUACAAGAGGUAAAUCCAAGAAUGUCAAGAUGCUAGAAAUUUCCCAUCAAGUUCAACUCCUUGACUUUAACAAUGAACAAAUGGAGGUCGCCAGACCUUCUCAUCUGCCUGGGACACAGUGGCAGUCCAGGAAACUGGAACUGUUACCCAAAAUUUCAAUUCCCAGCUUAGAGAUUUUCACACUACAGCAUAUCAUAGGGCAGAGUGGGGACUGCUGCCAGAAACAGGGAAGUGAAGAAUUUUUUUAAAAGGCUAUUUCCAAGUCUCCUGUCCCCUGUGUCCCAAGUUCAAAGUAAAGAGUAUUGGGAAGAGUCAGUGGAGAUGUUCAAUAACUACCAUUUUAAAUGAGCACAAUGCCGUGUUCUUUUCCUGUUAUCUCCUGUAGGACCAAGGACAAAUUUCAGUAGAAGAAUUUUGUGAGAUUCUCAUUCCUCGUAAACCCUCAGUUAAGACUGUAUGGAACCUUCACUCAGUAAGAAGCAACUUCUAAAAAAAAAA